GUCAAAAUAGAAAUAGUGUCUUUACACUUCCACAAGACCCAUUAAGUCUGGAAACUGAAUUAAGGCUUUAAGCUCUGUUUGUGAGUCUUCAGCGGUCAUGAGAAGAAGAAGGUGUUUGGUUUCGUCCUACUGUACAGUAGGAAUAGAGAUGAACGGUCAUUUGAAUCUCACCUCAACAUCAUCGUAGUCUGUAUCAUCAGCUUGUUUGGCAUCUGAGAGGUCAGAAUCUGACAGGGUUGCUAUGGUAACAGAUGAUGGAUUCCUCACUGCAGUCCAGGAUGAGAGUGUUGAUGUGUGAUGUCACUUCCUCUGGAGAGCAUCUGUUGUUCUGAUAGCUGGAGUUAAUCAUGAGCUCAUGAACUCU
Molecule: long non-coding RNA, 364 nt
Organism: Onychostoma macrolepis
Lineage: Eukaryota; Metazoa; Chordata; Actinopteri; Cypriniformes; Cyprinidae
Exons: 3
Source: RefSeq, a predicted model, not a curated record